This 81-nucleotide microRNA precursor is filed under the name Macaca nemestrina (pig-tailed macaque). Its description in RNAcentral is "miRNA (ENSMNEG00000019285.1)". Lineage: Eukaryota; Metazoa; Chordata; Mammalia; Primates; Cercopithecidae. The record is from RNAcentral.
AAGGAACACUCGUUCUAAUUGCCUGGGCUGGGGGCAGGCUGCCACCUCCCAGGGACAGGGGAUUGGGGCAGGAUGUUCCAG